Mauremys mutica (yellowpond turtle) is the source of this 802-nucleotide long non-coding RNA. RefSeq lists it as uncharacterized. The transcript is spliced from 3 exons. NCBI's taxonomy places the organism in Eukaryota, Metazoa, Chordata, Testudines, Geoemydidae. The record is from RefSeq and is a predicted model, not a curated record.
UGGCAGAGAUGGGCCUUUUGCUGUCCCUGUGAAAAUCUGCCCAAGUUUGGCCAAUUUGUAUGCCUUUGGAAGAUUGCAGUUAGCACAUGCUCAGCAGAGACUUGCUAGGGAUUAGCAGCUAAACUCACUGAAGAUUCCAUCCUUACUGAGCAUGCUCCAUGGGGUUGGAGGAACAGAGAGGGGUCCAAGUGCAGGUUUUUAUUGUGGGCCUCCUCCCAUACAACAACAUCCUGUCCCACCCAGCACUGCAACCCUAAUCCUGGCCUAGUGUGGAAGGGAGGGCUGGUGGGGAGGCUGGAGAGCAAGUCCACCUGACAGGUGCUGCAACCCCAUGUGCUAAAUUGCAAUGCCUGGAGCAGGGUGCCAUGCCUAGCCCCAUGGAUACAGGAGAUGCUGGAGCUGCUACUACCAGGAGCUGUCCUGACCGUUGCUGUUUGGGCGAAGUGGGGCCUUGACCGUGCCUGUAGCUCUGGAUUGCUUAAUCCUCAGGAGACUUUUGUUCCCGUCAGCUGUGCAGCACGCCACUGGACUCCCGGAAUUGUCUUUGCAGGGUGUGAAUCUCUGCUUUGUUUGUGGAAAACGCUCCCCCAUCACAGGCUUAAUGCAGGUGUGGUUGCCCCCCUGAGAUCCUUUGAGACUGGAAAUGUGUAUCAGUUAUCUGCCACAACGUUGUCAUGCCUAUGGGAUCGGUCUGCAGCUGGAUGAUAGCUGGGUGCCCAAACUCAGGCCCAAGGGAGGCAAAUUCCUAAGCUGCAAUCAACACCAAUGAUCUCACUGCAGUCACCAAAAUACCUUAUAAUCA